AUGCUCCUUAGCCUUUGAGUUUCAGAAUGGCUCUCCUAAAAGGAACACUCCUAUUUGUCCAGGUUGCGAUCUCAUAUUCACUCUGGGCCAGACCAACUACACAACUCCUUAAUUCUUCAGUUGGCCGGGAGUGAGGUUCCAGGAUGCCACAGCCCUGGGCAAUGAAGACAACAAGUUCAUCUUGAAUAGAUGGAUCUGAUUCACCUGACCUUAGGAGGAAUACACUGAAUUAUUUUUCAUGCUAGAGCAUAUUCCCAGGGCGCUGGGGCAGAGACCACGUCCUAAACCCAACUCAAAUGUGGGCUGUGCUCUUGGCUGAAGAAAAGCAUGGAAAGCAGUUGGGGACCUGCAUCCCCAAGACUGUCAGCCCUUCUCCAGGGCUAGCAACAAGCAGAGUGUAGCAGUGAGAAGAUGCUCUUGGCAGGCUCCAGAUAGCUGUGCCCUCAGCCCAGGAGGACUCAGCCAAUGAAGACUCAGCUAAUGAAAGCUCAGCAUGGAGGUGGCAAAGGGCUGCAGCCCCACCGAACUCUUUGCCUCCAGGCGCUGUGGUGGUGAAGAACUGAAAUACACAAACCUUGGGGCUUCCCCUUGUCCCUGAAACUGCAGAAGAUGCUGGCUCGGGAGAGCCCAGGUGAGAAAGCUGCUGCAGGAGCCAGAAACUUUGGCAAAGACUCUUUCUUUGCAAGUAAGAAAGCUAGUUGGGAAAGAGGACCAACUGUUCCUUCUAAAUUCCCAGGGAGUGGAGGGUACGUGAGGCCCUGUGAUUCAUUGGCCAGGAGUAUCUGCUCCAGCUGCCAGGCCAGAGUGAUCAAUCCAAAAGUGCUUCUGAAAAUGAGGCCAGACCCACAUUAAUGAAGCCUGAUUGCCUCAGAAUUAUUGUCGGAUUAAUUAGCAGCUUUGCCAGUAGCCCAUGUGUUCAGGGUCAGUAACAAUUUAUGGUGAGUCACAUUUAAGUAAUU
This 959-nucleotide long non-coding RNA is filed under the name Homo sapiens (human). Its description in RNAcentral is "HSALNT0229085". The record is from RNAcentral. Lineage: Eukaryota; Metazoa; Chordata; Mammalia; Primates; Hominidae.